This 303-nucleotide ribosomal RNA is filed under the name Triticum aestivum (bread wheat). Its description in RNAcentral is "partial small subunit ribosomal RNA". The record is from RNAcentral. Lineage: Eukaryota; Viridiplantae; Streptophyta; Magnoliopsida; Poales; Poaceae.
AUGCGGGCACAGGCCGACCCUUGGUUCUCCGAAUACCUCCUAAGGAUUGGCAAUGGAACGGAAGAAACUAUUGGUGACGACUAUGUGCGUCUGCCUGAAGACAUUGUGAUUGGUUAUACUGAGGACGAAGAACCUAUUAACAAGCUCAUCGAAGAUGUCUUCCCAUCCCUGCACACCAAUGCUAGGUCGAGGGAGUACAUGAGCAAACGUGCAAUUCUCUCGACCAAAAACGAGCAUGUGGAUGACCUGAAUGACAAGAUGAUCUCUAGGUUUCCGGGAGAAGAAAAGGUAUACCAUAGAUAA